AUUGAACGCUGGCGGCAGGCCUAACACAUGCAAGUCGAGCGGAUGAAGGGAGCUUGCUCCUGGAUUCAGCGGCGGACGGGUGAGUAAUGCCUAGGAAUCUGCCUGGUAGUGGGGGAUAACGUCCGGAAACGGGCGCUAAUAUCGCAUACGUCCUGAGGGUGAAAGUGGGGGUUCUUCGGACCUCACGCUAUCUGAUGAGCCUAGGUCGGAUUAGCUAGUUGGUGGGGUAAUGGCCUACCAAGGCGACGAUCCGUAACUGGUCUGAGAGGAUGAUCAGUCACACUGGAACUGGGACACGGUCCAGACUCCUACGGGAGGCAGCAGUGGGGAAUAUUGGAAAAUGGGCGAAAGCCUGAUCCAGCCAUGCCGCGUGUGUGAAGAAGGUCUUCGGAUUGUAAAGCACUUUAAGUUGGGAGGAAGGUCAGUAAGUUAAUACCUUGCUGUUUUGACGUUACCAACAGAAUAAGCACCGGCUAACUUCGUG
RNAcentral lists this ribosomal RNA (484 nucleotides) under uncultured bacterium. Its description in RNAcentral is "partial 16S ribosomal RNA". It matches the Rfam family "Bacterial small subunit ribosomal RNA", at positions 30 to 507 of the family's 1533-position model. The record is from RNAcentral.